UGUCACUAAUGAAUAACAACAGCACUAAUUAUUACCCUGCUUUGGAUGCUUCAGAUAGAAAUGAGAAGGGGCUCUAAAACAACCCCCAAGAAGAAACUUUAAAGGAAUGUAUUUCUUAAGGUGAAAACAAGUCUUCACAGAACACCAUCUGUUCACAAUGUAACAAUAUUUAGUAAGAUCUAAAUCAAAUGCAUUUGUAUUUGCAAAUAUGUCAUUAACACCACUGUGUGCCUAGCACUACAUGAAGAGUCUGAUGCUGGAAAAAGGUUCUCAGGCUCACCCCUGCUCUUUUAAAGCCACCAAAAUCGUUUCUCUCCUCAGAGUAGAUAAAAAAGUAAAUAACUUGCCCCUUUUCUGUGUGUAACUUAAGCAGGACUCUGUGAUGUGCUGUUUAAUUGUCUAAUUGAUAUAAAGAAUCAUAGAAUGGUUUGGGUUGGGAGGGACCUUAAAGAUCAUCUAGUUCCAAUCCCUGGGCUGUAAAGGGGGAAAAGGGGAGAAUGGGACAAACCAUGUGAUCAGUGCAAAUUACCAAACACCCAGUGCAAAAACAACAACUAAAUGCAACACCCUGCCAUGGGCAAGGAUGCCUAAUAAUGUGCUUUUCCUUUAGAAAUUGUUAGUUCCACAUUUGUGUGCUAGUAACAAGAUACACUUUGUUUAUAUAAGAAGAAGGAUUUGUAUUCUUUAAAAAAAAUCAGCACUUACCUGGAGUAACCUUAUUUCUUUUGUCUUCUUUGAACCCCUGUAAUGUAUUGACUCCUGACUGAAGCCUUCCUGCUGUCAUUCCCAGCUUCACAGGGCAGUAACCUGGUUCUGCAAUAGGACAUAUCAAAAUACAGAGAAGGCAUAGGAAGAUGACUAAACUCAUUUAGUCAUACUCACAGCUAAGAACUCAAAUAGGACAUGGCUCUCAAAGUGUGCUUUCCUAUCCAAAUGCUUCAUGCUAAUGAUCUGGGACCCAGACAGUUCCCAAUUCUAAAACAUCUUGUGACCUUCUGGGUCAGCAGACACUGCACUCUGUACAUGGACCAGAAAAGAGGAUCCAAAGAAAUUCUCCAGCAGCAAAAGUGUUAUUUUGCAGCUUCCACAAACAGCUGACACAAAUCAGAGAAGCAACAGCACUGAGGGCUCCCACCAGCUGCUGCUAACAACAGCCACAGCUGAGGCCCAUCUACGUGAUCCCUCAGCUGCAGCUUUUCCAAUCCAGAUCUUUAUCAGACUGGAAAGAGGCAUUCAGUUCUUGGCCAGGAUUUGCUCAUCUGCUCCUGCAAAGCUGCCAGGCCCUCAUCUAGCACAGUAAAGAACUGGAGUAUUUCUGAUGAAGAAAACAAAACAAAACUAGGUCCCACAUCUUUUGAAAGUUUAAGGAGGCUUUCAAACCAGGCCCUUGAAUCCAUUAGGAACACCACAGCCCCAGGACAUGUGGCUGCUGUCGACAGGACCAAGCUCACAGUGCCUUCACUCCUUGAUCUCCAUGACCAGACUAGCCUGGGAAAAGUAAGAGAUCUAAAACAGGCUGAAGGACAAACUGACAGACUCCAUGCAAUCCUGCACAAACCUGAAACCAUCUGCAUCUUUUUGAGGUGCACACUGACAAACCAGAAGUGUUUUCUCUUUUACAGGCAGAACUUACUUGCCCACAAAAAUUCAAGAAGAAACAUUUCUUGAGGCAGAAGUACUGAUUCAUUUUGGCAUCUUUCUAUUCCCAUAAAAUACUAGCCUUCAAGUCAGUUGAGCACAAUACAUCUCUGUAGUCAAAACAAAAUUCAAAACAUUACCUUUAAUUCUUCUAUGGACUGGUACCCAUUGUUCUUGAUCUUCUCUUUCAUGGUACUGAAAUCCAUCGGGUUUUUAAUGAUCAUGGAAUAGCCAGGGGCAAUAAAGUCAGUCACAGGAAAUGAAAAGAAAGAACUUGGAUCCUUUCUGUUAAGAAAGGAAAGAUGUUUUUUUACGUUUCAACUUAUAACAAAGAACAUACUGAGCUUGGAAUUAAAUAGAAAGGAAAUAACUAAGCUGAAAAGAAAUCAGAACUAUAAAGAGAGAAAUAGCUUGUGUCAGCAUAAUCUUUCCCUUUCAAGGUUGAAAAGAUCUCAUAUGCAAACCCAUGUACCAAAAAAGUACUACAAAUGUAUUUCAGAAGUUCUUUCUAUAUUUUGAUAAUUAUCUGUGUUCCCCAGAAGAUGAAAAAAACCCUGAAUUUUUUAAAAGGUUUUACAUUUUAACAAAGGCAUUUUACACCAUAUUAGAAAUAAUUAAAAAAUAGAAGACAUAUACAGAAUAUAAGAAUAUUCUUGUCAUUUCUCUCUUACUCUGAAAUUAUCAGAAGGGAAGAAACAGGAUUCAAAAUCAAAGUGCUGCUUUUUGUAUGCACAGAAAGGGGGCCAAAACGAACACAGGCAUCUUUUGAUAGUUUAAGUUUCUUGAAACUGACACGACACCUAGGUCUUGAAAAUUUACAGGCAAGAGAAAACUUGCAAACAAAGUUUCAAGCUCAGUAGUCUGGUGAGACAGCUAAAGGGAAAGAUCUUUCAACCACUCUUGCACAAGAUGCAGAUACUCUUAAAGUCAAGAAAGAUUAUCUUAAAUGAGAGACUACUUGAAAGAACUGCAGACUUGAUGGUUUUAACCAAAGACAUGUGGUUAGUAAAACAGUAAGAGAACAUGGUUGAAGUUUUCAAGUGCAAACUUCCUUUUCACAAUAAAUAAUGCUAAAAUAGGAGAACUCAAGGUAAAAGAAACUUUGGUAAAUUAAUUACAAUCUCUUGUGCUUUCCUUUCAAAAGCUUCCUCUAAAGAAAGCAUCACGAUAUUGGAAAACUUUUCUGGUUUUGAAAGCUUUUUAAAACUACAAUGAACUUGAGUGUGGAGGUGUUCACAAGAAGCCUAAGCUGAAGAGAAGUUCAAAGUACACUUUCCUAAACUAGCACUUAAAUUCCCAAGAUAGGCCUCUUAGCAAUAUAUUUACCAAUAAUAUUUUCACUGAGCUUUGUGUGUGCCCCUUCCCUUACUGGAUGUUAUUUUCACUUCAGCUCUGCAAGCCUGUAGCACAGACAUUACCUCUGCAGCUGCCUCAUGAGUUGAUUCAGAGCUUCCUGAAGUGGGGUCUGCUCCACCUCUAGAGCAAAAACAAGGAGAGGGGGAGAAACAGUGUGAGGCACAACUGACUGCACUUCCAAGAUAUUACAAAUCAACCAAACAAAACUGAUGCACCCUGAGAAUUCGGUGUAAAGGAAAGAAUACCAUGGCAAACCCCACAAUCCCUACUACUUUUCUCAUUGCCCUUACUUGACAUUCUGCUCACUCUGACAGAAGUACCAGACACCACUCUGCAAAGCAAGUGUACAGCAACCUAAUUCCAAACUUUGUACAGUAUGGAGAAAAACAGAUGGCACAAAAUGCCAAGUCACUUGCUACAGAAACAAAGAACAAUAAAACAUGAGUCAAUUACAGAAAACAUGAAUUAGCAAAAGAAAUGUCUUUGUUCCCUACCCUCCUGCUUGGAUAAAGAGCUCGUCAGUGGUUUCUCUGGUGACAAUUCCAUUCUGACGGGGGUCUGACAUUUCAUUUCCUGCUCUCCCUCACUGUCUCCAUGGUCUCGAUCUCGUUUCUUUUUAUCCUCCUGGAAAGAUUGUUAUGGAAAUGUAAAAGCACCUGCAAACCCUGCAUUAUUAAUGUACAUAAUGAUCUCUAGAUUUUUCAAAACGUAUUCACAAAGUUUAGAAAAUAAGAAUAGUUUGUAAGUGCUUAAAAAUUCUGUAUUCUUUAUGUACUGUCUCCAUCUGCUGGACACUGAAAUAAUUCAGCCACACAAUGCAAUGUAUCACUGAAUUAGUUGUUUAGAAAAUGUGACAGCUAGCUGGUGCGUAUCCUUUACAAAUGAGAUAGGAAUGCCUCACACACCGAGGCUGAACAUACUCCAGCUUAAGGAUACAAGUUACAGCCAUAUCUGCUGACCUUCUGAUGUGAAACCUAGAGAAAGUCCAAACAUUUUUUUUUGCUAUAAUGCAGUAGCAUGAACACAUACCUUAACUUUUCUCCUUCGUUUCUCCUUUUCUUCGCCAGGAACUUGUUUUUCUCCUUUCUUCCUCUUUUUCCUUUUUCUGUCUUUGUGUUUUUCAUGUUCAGAUUUGUCUUCGUAGAGGCUGGAAUCAAGUCCAGCAUUUCCAGUGGAAAG
Long non-coding RNA from Passer domesticus (house sparrow), 4173 nucleotides. RefSeq lists it as uncharacterized. The record is from RefSeq and is a predicted model, not a curated record. NCBI's taxonomy places the organism in Eukaryota, Metazoa, Chordata, Aves, Passeriformes, Passeridae. The transcript has 2 exons.